This 727-nucleotide unclassified non-coding RNA is filed under the name Hevea brasiliensis (rubber tree). Lineage: Eukaryota; Viridiplantae; Streptophyta; Magnoliopsida; Malpighiales; Euphorbiaceae. The record is from RNAcentral.
GUACUUUCUUGUCUGAAUUGCUUUCUCCGCAAUGGUUCACUCUACAGUUUUGAAUAUGGAGUAAGCCCCUCUGUUUUCUUAUCCAAAGUGCGAGGUGGAACUUGCACUACUGCUGUGUCAGACCCUCCAGAGAUGGUUAUCCAUCGAGCAAUGCAUCUUCUCCAGAAUGGAUUUGGCAACUAUGAUGUGUUCCAAAACAACUGUGAGGACUUUGCGUUGUAUUGCAAAACAGGUCUUCUGACACUAGAUAGAUUGGGAGUUGGAAGAAGUGGACAAGCUUCUUCUGUUGUUGGUGCUCCUUUAGCUGCGCUUCUUUCUUCCCCCCUGAAGUUUCUAAUUCCUAGUCCCGUUGGCAUGGCCACUGUUACUGCAGGAAUGUACUGCAUGAGCAGAUAUGCUACUGAUAUUGGUGUUCGAAGUGAUGUCAUAAAAGUUGCAGUCGAAGACUUAGCUGUAAACCUUGGCUGGGGUCGCAGCAAUGAAGGAGCUAUUGUGGAACAUGAUGAUUCUAUUCACUUACUUGACAGAUGACAUCAUUCUCAGUGUAUUUUGUAGGAAAUGCUAUUGAUGUUGUAUUGAUUUGUGAUAAGAAUUCUGGUCCAGGAACUGCCAUUUGGCUGUCCAUAUGUGCUACCAUAUCCGAUGUACAUUGAAAAUAAGUUCUUGGUAUUGGUUUGUUAUCCUGUGUGCAAAGAUUUGUCCAUACAUUUUCUGAACUAGUCAUUCU